GACGAACGCUGGCGGCGUGCUUAACACAUGCAAGUCACGGGGGCGUGGAGCAAUCCAGUAACCGGCGAACGGGUGCGUAACACGUGAGCAACCUGCCGUACUCAGGGGGAUAGCCGGCCCAACGGCCGGGUAAUACCGCAUACGUUCUCGCAGGGGAGUCCCUGUGGGAGGAAACCUCCGGGGAGGUACGAGGGGCGUCGCGGCCUAUCAGCUAGUUGGUGCGGUAACGGCGCACCAAGGCGACGACGGGAGCUGAUCUGA
This 261-nucleotide ribosomal RNA is filed under the name uncultured bacterium. RNAcentral describes it as "partial 16S ribosomal RNA". It matches the Rfam family "Bacterial small subunit ribosomal RNA", at positions 28 to 295 of the family's 1533-position model. The record is from RNAcentral.